This 253-nucleotide ribosomal RNA is filed under the name uncultured bacterium. RNAcentral describes it as "partial 16S ribosomal RNA". It matches the Rfam family "Bacterial small subunit ribosomal RNA", at positions 524 to 776 of the family's 1533-position model. The record is from RNAcentral.
UACGGAAGCAGCAAGCGAUGUUCGGAAUUACUGGGCGUAAAGGGUGCGUAGGCGGUGCUCUAAGUUUGGUGUGAAAUCUCCCGGCUUAACUGGGAGGGUGCGCCGAAAACUGGAGCGCUUGAGUGCGGGAGAGGAAAGCGGAAUUCCUGGUGUAGCGGUGAAAUGCGUAGAGAUCAGGAGGAACACCUGCGGUGUAGACGGCUUUCUGGACCGUAACUGACGCUGAGGAACGAAAGCGUGGGUAGCAAACAGG